This 555-nucleotide long non-coding RNA is filed under the name Gallus gallus (chicken). RNAcentral describes it as "long non-coding RNA NONGGAT008099". The record is from RNAcentral. Lineage: Eukaryota; Metazoa; Chordata; Aves; Galliformes; Phasianidae.
CAUUAAUACAUUACAAAACAAUUUUCAGCCCUGAGGUAACGCAUGAAGUAAAUGUGUAAGAGAGAACCUGUAAUGGAUUAAGAGAAGGAAGGAAGGAAGCUGUGUGUGUAAUGGAGCAGCAGUAGCAUCGGUCCUGGGAUCCUCCUGUAGCAGUAUGUAAAAAAAUACCUGUUUUGCUGAUGCUGUAUUUGUUUCUGAAACAAGAGAAGGGCUUGGUAAAGUGAGAGGUGAAAGACUAUUGUAUAAUUCUGCACAACUGUGACUAAACAAUGUUUUGCUUGACUGUAAGGUUCUGUGUUAUCAUAGAUUACUCAUGGGCUGCUGGCCAAGGCCAUGCAAUGGCUGCACAUCUGCACAGCUAGGACAGAGCAAAGCUCUGUUGCUGCAGCGUAGCAGCUGGGAGUUACUGCAGUAGCUGGGAAUAGCUCAAAAUUCAUCACUAGUGCAACCCAGUAAGGGUGAGUAUCCAACCACAGGUUCUCUGUGCUGUACUGGCUUCUGCGAGCCUCCAGUUGCACAUACCAAAAAAGACAUUUUUACUACACUGUUACAGCU